This 333-nucleotide transfer-messenger RNA is filed under the name Alphaproteobacteria bacterium. It matches the Rfam family "Alphaproteobacteria transfer-messenger RNA". Rfam says of the family: Bacterial tmRNA, also known as 10Sa RNA or SsrA, is named for its dual tRNA and mRNA-like properties. Its role is to liberate the mRNA from a stalled ribosome. To accomplish this part of the tmRNA is used as a reading frame that ends in a translation stop signal. The record is from RNAcentral. Lineage: Bacteria; Pseudomonadati; Pseudomonadota; Alphaproteobacteria.
GGCCUUCAAUUCUUAACCGGGGACGCCUAUAUUUAGCGUGUUCGGCUUGUCCGGACUAUGGCGAUAAACGGCUGUGCAAUAAGCGGACCGGACCCGGGGGCGGUACCCGGCGCCUCCACCAAAAGCCCAUCGAUGCCCGAUUGCGGGCGGUGGGUUUCUGUGGGGGCGAAACAGGAUCGACGGACGUGUAAAGACUGACCUUUCGCCCGGUAUGGUAUCCGCCGUCAUCGGGCUGAUCGUACAAGUGCCAACGAUAAUGAAAUGGUACUCGCUGCCUAAUUAACUAGGUAAGCGCGGUUUCGGUGGGUGUACCGGGCAACAGAGACACCCACC